UACAGAGGUCUCAAGCGUUGUUCGGAUUCAUUGGGCGUAAAGGGUGUGUAGGUGGCGCCGUAAGUCGGGUGUGAAAUUUCGGAGCUUAACUCCGAAACUGCAUUCGAUACUGCGGUGCUUGAGGACUGGAGAGGAGACUGGAAUUCAUGGUGUAGCAGUGAAAUGCGUAGAGAUCAUGAGGAAGACCAGUGGCGAAGGCGGGUCUCUGGACAGUUCCUGACACUGAGACAAGAAGGCCAGGGGAGCAAACGGG
Molecule: ribosomal RNA, 253 nt
Filed under: uncultured bacterium
Lineage: Bacteria
Description: partial 16S ribosomal RNA
Rfam family: Bacterial small subunit ribosomal RNA
Source: RNAcentral